Molecule: long non-coding RNA, 4462 nt
Organism: Tachysurus vachellii
Lineage: Eukaryota; Metazoa; Chordata; Actinopteri; Siluriformes; Bagridae
Exons: 6
Source: RefSeq, a predicted model, not a curated record
AGAGGGUCAAUAUUGACAUGGUUUGUGUAUUUUGGUACGAUGGAUCUCGACACUGUACUAGUGUUUAGGGUGAAGUUCAGUUGUGGAUAAAUGAAAUAACUGACUGGUCUCAGGCACAGUUUAAAAAUACAACAUUGCAGGGUCUGAACCAAUCGACCAGUCUGGGCCAUUCAAGCAGAGUGUCUGCUUCCUCGACAUUAGGAAGCAUGCAGACAAGACUUUACAGUUGAAGAAUGCAUUCUUGCGACACUACCAGGCCAGGAAGAGGCACCCAGGGGAGUGACUCCUGACAUCGUUCAAGCACACUGUCUGAGCAAUAAGUCAUCAACUUACUUUUGACAGUUGUGGAAGCGCUUGGGGCCAACUCACUAAACUUCUGCUGCUGUUAUGGUUUUUCUUCCAUGGACCCACAGACCACCACCUAGCAUUCACCUUCCUGUCUAAUUAUAAUCUUUUGUUUUACUUCCAUUUAGUUUUGAGUUUUGCGCUCUGUUUUAUUCCCUCAUCCUCUGCCAGUUGCACACAAACACACACGCAUAUUUGGAUUCAGACAAAAAGCAAUGCCAAAUCCAAUCCAAAUAUUUAUAGAAGUUGGCAGCAUGGACCAUCCAAGGCAUGCACACAUAGAGUAGAGAAUCAGACAGUGUAAAUAUGCUCUAGCUAAUAUAAAUAUAAAUCUGCUAGCCUAUUUCUAAAUUGUUAUCAAGGCUACAUAAAACAUUGCCUUCUCCAAAUAUAGAAAGGCUACUGAUAAUAACAGAAAUUGAGAAAUAUUUAUAUUCAGUUUGUCAGCAGCAAUCCACACAGCACAGGAUCUCAAAAACUAAAACAAUGAUCCCACAAAAAUGAUCCCAUGUGGCAUAAAUGGUUCAUAUUUAAUGGUUGACAUUAGUUCAUAAAAAUGUACAAAUUAAUAGAUCUAUAAAAAUAAAAGCAAGAAAAAAACAGCCUUUUCUAUAAGAAUAAUAAUAAUAAUAAUAAUAAUAAUAAUAAUAAUAAUAAUAAUAAUAAUAAUAAUAAUAGUAUGUAAAAAUGCUACCUACCAAAUUAUUAUGUAUGUAGCAAAUAAAAGCAAAAUCAACUAAGCUGAGUGCACCAUAUUUAUAAAUUAUUUACAUUUACCAUUUAUAAAAAUCGUUAAAGGCAACUAAGCAGAUAAUAGCUAAAUAGUGUGUUUAAAAUGAGCUUGGCUGUCAGUCACCAUAAGGGUGACAUCAGCCAUAGGCUUUAAGUUUACUUUAUUUCUGAGGUCUGCAGGUUUGGAGGGUUCGACAAAAACAUGUAAAAUCUCAGCAGAUGAUGAGAUCUGUUUUUUUUUUUUUUUUUUUUUCGUUUUGUUUUGUUUUGGGGUUUUUUAUUCCGCAGCAGUGUGUCCACCCCAACCCUGACCAGGACAAACCAUAUACAUGUAUUAAUGUUGUUUUCUAAACACAUGAUAUACAUUAACUCCCAAAGAAUAUGUACCUUUUGGAUGAAGACAUAAAUUAUGUUUACAUAUAAAAAUAUGUAAGUAAAAAUAGGCAGUGAAGAUGACAUAAAAAUGUCCUUUCAUCUUUACUGCAUUAGGCCACACUAUGCUCAAACAUAUCAGGGGUCCUGUUGCAAGCCAGGGUUUACAAGGUUUACAGGGUUUACAGGGUUUGUCCAGUGAAUUUUUAAUAUUAUGAACACAUUCAUCUACACAUUCAUGUUGAAAGCAGGUUAAAAGUGAACAUAAAACACAAUAGUUCAGUGUGAUCAUGUAUUUUUGUGCAAGAAUAAAGUCUGAACAUUAAGCAAUCACCUGUGAGGGCUUUCAUGUUUAAAUGUUGACAUGACAUUUAGACAUCUCAUCACAUUCCUAUCUCAACAUUUACUUUCAUAGUUAACUUCUUAGUGAAGACUUGUGCUCAGCACCCACAGCAUGAUGAAGAACAAAACUGGAAUCUCUGAUAUGUAAUCUUUACUCUGCUUCAACUUACAGAAGCUGUCAGCAGCCCUGCGAUGGGUUGGCACUCUGUCCAGGGUGUAUCCUGCCUUGAUGCCCGAUGACGCCUGAGAUAGGCACAGGCUCCCCGUGACCCGAAUUAGUUCGGAUAAGCGGUAGAAAAUGAGUUUAUAUUAAACAUAAAACAAGAUCGCAAAACAGGCUAAUAACUAGGACAACUCAUUUGUAUCGUGGUGAAUCGUGACACCUAUCCCAAGAAUGCUGGGAGUGAAGUGGAAAUACACACAGCAUGGGAUGCCAGUCAAUUGGAUGGAGAGAGGAAACUACAGAACUUGGAGGAAACAAACAGGAAAAGCUUGCAAGGCAGUAUCCCAGGCUCAGGAUUGACAUGGUGAACUGCAACUAUAGUAAACUGAAGGCAUAGCUUCCCACAUUCUGUCUUCAUGCCCCCACUUGCUUGUUGUGGUUUUUGAAAGAUGUGGCUACCAGGAUGACAUGCACCUCUCCAGAACUAAGUGCAUAUGUAAAGCUUGAACAGCCUGGGUAAAGCUGAUGUGUGCAGAAGCAGCAGCAACACAAAAGCCAUUGUUCACAUAUACAUCUCUUUUCCUGAUGUACAUGUAGAGAAUUGGUCAUGAAAAGUGACUCUCUAAACCUGGCCAUCACAAGAACCUACACGAUUUCAUGCACAGCAAUGUUCAAACUUUCUGCAGGUGCCAUGAUUGGUGUUAUCUAAAAAUUUGACCUUAGAUUCAGAAGUAUUUACUUAUAGUAGACUUUUUUAACAGGCCUUUUAUCAAGGAUAAAUGCUUUAAAAUUCAAACACUAAUCAUAAAGAGGAAACAGGAAAAACACCAGGUUUCCGGAACUGUCUUGCACAGUAUGUGAUUUGAGACUCAGCCAUUUGUUUGGUCUGUUUACAUUGUUCCAGUAUUUAUUUCAGUAUUGUACCAUGCGGUUAAUUUCUGAAUGUGUGUACAAACAACAGACCAAACAGACUACAGGAUGGAUACAUGUGUACAGGAUGGAUACAUAAUGCUAAAUAUCUAAAGAGCAUCUGAAACUUGUGUUUUCAUGCAUCCAGUUUGUCCAACAUGUUUCAGUGUUUUAGAAUAGAUUCCUGGAUUUCCAUAGACUUGCAACCAUUUAGUGGGUUUAUGUGUUUAGUUUGCACUGUUUUAAAAUUCUGAGAUAUAAAACGCUUUAUUUUCAUCUUGAUAAAAAUGUGUGUGCGCUUGUAGGCAAUGUCCUGUUGUCACUACAGCAGUGUGUGUGUAGCCUAAAGGCGAUGUGUUCUCGUGUAAUGGGAUCGGUGUUCGAGACUGAGGCAGUAUUAACGGGGAUAAUUGAGUUGCUCAUUCAAGUGCAACAGAGCUCUGUAAAGAUACACGCAGUCAGACUGGUGAAGCUGCCUCUGUCUCUUCCUUUCUUUUUCUGUCUUUUCCCUUUAUAUGUCUGUCUUUUCUAUCUCUCAUUGAGCUUUGAGUCUUUCUUAGUACCCUGCACUAAAUGUAUAACGUGAGGUAAUGUAAUAUUGCAUAAGGCCAUAAAAUAAAAGGUGUACAUUUGUAGCAAAAUGUUGAGAACGUGGAGGAAGUGUUCAGUUUCUAUUUUUUUCUUCUUUUCUAUCAGUUUUCCUCUCUCCAGAUUGCAAUGUUCUCUCGACUCACAGUGUAGGCUACAUUCUUCUCUAUGGGGAGAGAUUUAUGGCAGAAGGCUUCUCUCUCAAAAGCAGCACAUUGUCCCUCUGCACACCAUGGUUUGAGUGCGUGUCUGUGUGUAGGAGAGAGAGAGAGAGAGAGAGAGAGAGAGAGAGAGAGAGAGAGAGUGUGCAUGCGCAAGAAAGAGUUUGAAUACAAUUCUGACUGCAACAGCUUGUGCAUAUAUACAUUCCAUCUAGCAAUGAGUGUGUGUGUGUGCACACUCACACAUGCAAACAAACAGGGGUGUCGAGCAAAUAAGCAUGUGUGUGUUGCGCUCGCAGGGCGAGGCGGGUGGCUCACGCACUCAGCUGCGACCUGCUCACUCUCUCAUUUUCAAUCUCAGCCCAAUUAAUUUAGCAGAAUUAAUCUCUCGCUGUGCACAGACGCUCCUGACACACACGCACACGCACACACACAUAUAGGCGCGCACACACAUCUCAUCCACACAGCGUGUGGCACAGUGAAACAUGAAAUAGUGUCUCAUGCCACCAUCCAUCUGGCAUCUUUACACACACAUACACACACACACACACAAACCUCCCUCCUCUCUGACAUUUGGAGAUGGGGAGUGAAUGGGUGGGGGGGAUGAUUUCCUCUGCUAAUGAAGAACUCGCUGUGUUCAUGCAGGCAGCAAAAUGAUGGCCGCAUUUGAAGGAGUUUCUCUGUUUCAUGGCCCUUUCCACUUCAAUACUUACACUGCAAAAAAAAAUCUUUAACGUUCCAUUUUAACCCCAAAAUAAUAUUUUGAACAUUAGUGUUUUUAAAAAUGUAUUCAGGACCAUAACAUCUAGUAUAUAACAGCUAGAUAUGACUAAUGUGACACAGAUGAGUU